GCUUGCUUUUUUGAGACCGGCGCACGGGUGAGUAACGCGUAUGCAACCUACCUUAUACAGGGGAAUAGCCCGAAGAAAUUCGGAUUAAUGCUCCAUGGUUUAUCGAUAUGGCAUCGUAUUGAUAAUAAAGAUUUAUCGGUAUAAGAUGGGCAUGCGUAUCAUUAGCUAGUUGGUGUGGUAACGGCAUACCAAGGCAACGAUGAUUAGGGGUCCUGAGAGGGAGAUCCCCCACACUGGUACUGAGACACGGACCAGACUCCUACGGGAGGCAGCAGUGAGGAAUAUUGGUCAAUGGAGGCAACUCUGAACCAGCCAUGCCGCGUGCAGGAUGACGGUCCUAUGGAUUGUAAACUGCUUUUGUACAGGAAGAAACCUCCCUACGAGUAGGGACUUGACGGUACUGUAAGAAUAAGGAUCGGCUAACUCCGUGCCAGCAGCCGCGGUAAUACGGAGGAUCCGAGCGUUAUCCGGAAUUAUUGGGUUUAAAGGGUUCGUAGGCGGCUUUGUAAGUCAGUGGUGAAAUUUCCUAGCUUAACUAGGACACUGCCAUUGAUACUGCAGAGCUUGAAUAGUAUGGAAGUAACUAGAAUAUGUAGUGUAGCGGUGAAAUGCUUAGAUAUUACAUGGAAUACCAAUUGCGAAGGCAGGUUACUACGUAUUUAUUGACGCUGAUGAACGAAAGCGUGGGGAGCGAACAGGAUUAGAUACCCUGGUAGUCCACGCCGUAAACGAUGGAUACUAGCUGUUCGGUUUUCGGACUGAGUGGCUAAGCGAAAGUGAUAAGUAUCCCACCUGGGGAGUACGUUCGCAAGAAUGAAACUCAAAGGAAUUGACGGGGGCCCGCACAAGCGGUGGAGCAUGUGGUUUAAUUCGAUGAUACGCGAGGAACCUUACCAGGGCUUAAAUGUAGAUUGACAGAUUUGGAAACAGAUUUUUCUUCGGACAAUUUACAAGGUGCUGCAUGGUUGUCGUCAGCUCGUGCCGUGAGGUGUCAGGUUAAGUCCUAUAACGAGCGCAACCCCUAUUGUUAGUUACCAGCGCGUAGUGGCGGGGACUCUAGCAAGACUGCCGGUGCAAACCGUGAGGAAGGUGGGGAUGACGUCAAAUCAUCACGGCCCUUACGUCCUGGGCUACACACGUGCUACAAUGGCAAGUACAGAAAGCAGCUACCUGGCAACAGGAUGCGAAUCUCCAAAGCUUGUCUCAGUUCGGAUUGGAGUCUGCAACUCGACUCUAUGAAGCUGGAAUCGCUAGUAAUCGGAUAUCAGCCAUGAUCCGGUGAAUACGUUCCCGGGCCUUGUACACAC
Molecule: ribosomal RNA, 1307 nt
Filed under: Myroides odoratimimus
Lineage: Bacteria; Pseudomonadati; Bacteroidota; Flavobacteriia; Flavobacteriales; Flavobacteriaceae
Description: bacterial SSU rRNA
Rfam family: Bacterial small subunit ribosomal RNA
Source: RNAcentral